GUGCUCACUUCGGCAGCACAUAUACUAAAAAUUGCAACGAUACAAAGAAAACUAGCAUGGCCCCUGUGCAAGGAUGACAUGCAAAUUCGUGAAGCGUUCCAUAUUUUU
Molecule: small nuclear RNA, 108 nt
Filed under: Tursiops truncatus (common bottlenose dolphin)
Lineage: Eukaryota; Metazoa; Chordata; Mammalia; Artiodactyla; Delphinidae
Also listed under: 1 other name
Source: RNAcentral